Molecule: long non-coding RNA, 954 nt
Organism: Strigops habroptila (Kakapo)
Lineage: Eukaryota; Metazoa; Chordata; Aves; Psittaciformes; Psittacidae
Exons: 2
Source: RefSeq, a predicted model, not a curated record
GAGCCGCAUGCUCGGACUGUGUAAUGUACCCCACUUAGUGUGGAGCAAGUCUCUUUUGAGAGGUGCAGAAAAGUCCAUGGCUGUAAUAUAUGCGAUAGUUUUCCAAAGACUGAAGUUUCUCUCUGGAGCACUUAGAUUCUGACUAAUGUGACUGCCCAAUUUGCUUGUAACACACAUAGCUAGUGCGUAUUAUACAAAGUUGAGCUGCAGAUCUCUUGUAAUACAUGAAAAGGAAGUGUGUUUUCUACUGUUUUGAAAUCUGUUGGAUGCUUUGGCACAAGAAAUCAAAUUGAAAGGGCAUUAAGGUGUUUGGUGGGGUUAGUUUUGUCUUUUUUAAAUUAUGAAAAGAACAGCUAAGCUAUCGGGAUACAUUUACAUCCUCACUGUUCUGAAUAUAGUAGAGGCUGCAGAGGUACAACAGGAGCUUCAUAAGGACCGGCUGAGCAUUUACAUUGGGCCAUUUACAGUCAGUCUUAAGUAAUUUGAUCUUAAUGUCCGUCUCGGCUUUCCUCCCUUAUGGUGUAUACCUACAGGGUACGUAUAUGCUGUAAAAAGUUUGAGGUACACAAAACACACCUGCAAAGUAAAAUCUGCUGAAAUUGUGAGAGAAUGGUUUUCUUUAUAGGUUUUUAUAGUCCUUCCACAAUUCUAAUAUUCUGAAUAGCACUUGUUCUUCACAAAUUGAACAUAUCAGGAUUAUGGAGACAGUGUGUUUAAGCUGUGUAACUUUCAGAUUUAUAAGAUGUUCCCUGUAUUCCACAACAUGCAGUUAGUGUUAAUCAGAUUAGACAGCAUGAAUCUUCCUGAUAGUUUUGAAAACAAUUGUGGAAUAAUUUGAACUGCAGCAGGUCAGUACUAGGAACAAUAGAAAUGAGCUGACACUGGUAAAUACCUUUGUGGUAGGGACUGGCUGUAUGGCAGUUCUGUGGAGCUAAGGGUGGAGAGAAUAAGACU